Molecule: long non-coding RNA, 916 nt
Filed under: Gallus gallus (chicken)
Lineage: Eukaryota; Metazoa; Chordata; Aves; Galliformes; Phasianidae
Description: long non-coding RNA NONGGAT011671
Source: RNAcentral
CACCUCGCGGUCCUUGAGGCCCAGGAGCAGCACCUCCUCCAUCAGGGUGAGCCUCGUUUCCUUGGAGUCCCCCUUCUCGUCGUCUCCCGGCUCUUCCCGGCGGCCUUCAUCCUCAGAGCCGCCCCCGGCCCCCCUCUCCUUGUCGGCGGCGGCGCUGCGGGACGCCUCGAGCACUGCCAAUAGGCAAAACCAAAGGAGGGCAAACCAGAAACAUUUCAGCAUUGGAUUCCACUGGCACUGAAGCCCUGUGUAGUACCAAGAGCUGCUGUUUGGGAGGGGGACCACACACCUUGUUGGAUCUUCACUGUGAGACCCCGCCGUGCCAGGCUGACUGACAAGCGUCUUAGGAAGACCAAAGGCAGACACAGAAAGGCUUUAACUUUUCACAAAGAUUUCCUUCAUUUCAUGUAUUUCCAGGUCCUCCCAUUUUCUCCUCACCUGUGGAGUUCAGACGAUUGCUAGCUCCUGAAAUCUUUGUAUUUUAAUGGUAUCUUCCUGUGUGUGAGCAACGUUGCUCAGUAGCAAGAAUGUACUUGUUAUUUUAACACUGCAAUUAUAGUUCUGAAAUAAUGAAGACAAAGUAUCAGUUAAAGGGCAGUUUGUAAGGAAGAUGCAUUUUCAUUUCUACAGAGUGAUUCAAUCCAACCAUUAUCAGUAGAAAAAAUGUGUAGCUGUCUUACUUAGCAAGUUCAGUGAGAAAAAUGAGGUGGAAGUCCUGUGAAACCAACACCAACAUGGUCAGUGGGAUUCUGGCAAAAUUUAAAGCACUUAAUCAAAUGGCUUUUAUAUGAAAUCAGUUUCAAAAAACCUUCAUUUCCCUUCCCAUGUAGCAAAUCAGUAACUAUCUGUUCUCUGUUAAGUAUGUAAAUACUCAUCAACUCAUUGAAAAAUACAUAAAGCCAGAUGGUGUGCAGAA